CUGGUGUAUUCGACCUCCUGCAAGCAAUAGUUAGAGCCAGAUACAUCUGCGGAGAAUUGCUCAUGUAAUCUUUUUGUUGUUAACUUUUUGACUUUAAUUGAUCAACGUGUCGCGAUCCUUCUCAUCAACCAACUCGGGGGGAUCGGAGAUCCCGACAGCGCGGACUUAAUAUCCAGCAGACCCCGGGGUUGGACAGAAACAAGGGAAGGAGAGAGGAAUUUGGGGCUAAGAAGAUAGACGGAGCGGAGGGGCACCGCUUUGCAGACAGGUGGACGGGUAGCAACAGAGGACUCAUUGUCCGCGGCUCAAUCAGACGGGCAGGUGUGCCGCUCAACACCCGGCAGCACGGCGCACUCCUUGACUCCUGGCCUCCUCCCGGACAUCCCUGUCCUCGUGCAGUCUUAUUACUGGGGCUCGAUGCGCCUGCAGUCGUGGGUGGAGUGAUAUUAAGUUUGUCUUAAUAUUGACGGAUUAGAAAAUACCACGUGAUUCUUUUAGAAAGCUCGCCACGGCAUGAGGUAUCGCUUGAACCCGAGAUGGGCCAUGGACUCAUACGGUUGAAAUGAAGGGAACCGUGUUGAGUUCGUAAUUAAUCAUUUAUUAUGCGCACAUGGCUAUGAGGUGGAAUUGUCUGUUGGUGAAAUAUUGUUGAAGUGACAGAGCGUUCGCUUUUAAAAGACAUAACGUCAGGAAUAAAAAGAAUUGUGAUUAAAUAUUCCAAAGCAAUGAAUGCAAAGAGCAGCGGGUGCAGUGAGUGAGUGAGAUAUAGUUGCAGAUAUAUUGAAGUUUAAAGAAGGCAAUUCUGCCAAGCCGGGCCAAGGUUGAUAAAUCUGUCAGUGGUGCCAAGCUACACAGAUCCAGGUUACUGUAGAACUUGACUUUGCUGCUCCCCAGCUGGCUUGGACCUCAUCCAGAGCCUCAUACUAUAUCCUGGACCCUUUCCAAGCCCCUGGUCUGUCCUUACCCAGCCUCGGUCCACAUUGUUGUGUUGUGGAAUAUUUCAAUAAAAGCUCGGUAGAAGAGAAUGAUUUGUCUGAUAAAACAGAGUCUUGAUGAAUGAUCAAAGUUGCAAAAAUCCAUUUAUUGCUUGCAAGCAGGAGGUC
Long non-coding RNA from Gasterosteus aculeatus aculeatus (three-spined stickleback), 1103 nucleotides. The record is from Ensembl. NCBI's taxonomy places the organism in Eukaryota, Metazoa, Chordata, Actinopteri, Perciformes, Gasterosteidae.